This 132-nucleotide transfer RNA is filed under the name Corynebacterium aurimucosum. RNAcentral's name for it is "tRNA-OTHER". It matches the Rfam family "tRNA". From Rfam's summary of the family: Transfer RNA (tRNA) molecules are approximately 80 nucleotides in length. Their secondary structure includes four short double-helical elements and three loops (D, anti-codon, and T loops). Lineage: Bacteria; Bacillati; Actinomycetota; Actinomycetes; Mycobacteriales; Corynebacteriaceae. RNAcentral also lists the same sequence under 1 other name. The record is from RNAcentral.
GCGCCUGUAGCUCAUUGGUAGAGCAUUUCCUAUAAGCCGCGUCAUUAAGGGGGCUGGUACUAGCCCCGGCCACACUGGCAUGUUGUGGCUACGCGCAAUGGCCGUGAGCUGGUUCGAUUCCAGCCAGGCGCA